UUGAGGUUUCGGCCUCAAGGGAGUGGCGGACGGGUGAGUAGCGCGUGGGAACCUGCCCCUUUGUGGGGGAUAACCGAGGGAAACUUCGGCUAAUACCGCAUGCGCCCCGGCGCGAGCCGGGGGAAAGAUUUAUCGCAGAGGGAGGGGCCCGCGUCGGAUUAGGUAGUUGGUGGGGUAACGGCCUACCAAGCCUGUGAUCCGUAGCUGGUCUGAGAGGAUGAUCAGCCACACUGGGACUGAGACACGGCCCAGACUCCUACGGGAGGCAGCAGUGGGGAAUAUUGGACAAUGGGCGCAAGCCUGAUCCAGCAAUGCCGCGUGAGUGAUGAAGGCCUUAGGG
This 340-nucleotide ribosomal RNA is filed under the name uncultured bacterium. RNAcentral describes it as "bacterial SSU rRNA". It matches the Rfam family "Bacterial small subunit ribosomal RNA", at positions 72 to 422 of the family's 1533-position model. The record is from RNAcentral.